CGUGGGGGAUAACGUAGCGAAAGCUACGCUAAUACCGCAUACGAACUCAGGUUGAAAGCGGGGGACCGUAAGGCCUCGCGCGAUUGGAGCGGCCGAUGGCAGAUUAGGUAGUUGGUGGGGUAAAGGCUCACCAAGCCUGCGAUCUGUAGCUGGUCUGAGAGGACGACCAGCCACACUGGGACUGAGACACGGCCCAGACUCCUACGGGAGGCAGCAGUGGGGAAUUUUGGACAAUGGGCGCAAGCCUGAUCCAGCCAUUCCGCGUGCAGGAUGAAGGCCUUCGGGUUGUAAACUGCUUUUGUACGGAACGAAACGCUCUGGGUUAAUACCCUGGGGUAAUGACGGUACCGUAAGAAUAAGCACCGGCUAACUACGUGCCAGCAGCCGCGGUAAUACGUAGGGUGCGAGCGUUAAUCGGAAUUACUGGGCGUAAAGCGUGCGCAGGCGGUGAUGUAAGACAGGUGUGAAAUCCCCGGGCUUAACCUGGGAACUGCAUUUGUGACUGCAUCGCUGGAGUGCGGCAGAGGGGGAUGGAAUUCCG
Molecule: ribosomal RNA, 541 nt
Filed under: uncultured Gallionellaceae bacterium
Lineage: Bacteria; Pseudomonadati; Pseudomonadota; Betaproteobacteria; Nitrosomonadales; Gallionellaceae
Description: bacterial SSU rRNA
Rfam family: Bacterial small subunit ribosomal RNA
Source: RNAcentral